GCCAGGAUGGCAUAGUGGUUUGUGUGUUGGACUACAACUCUGAAGGCCAGGGUUCGGUUCCUACUCUACCA
RNAcentral lists this transfer RNA (71 nucleotides) under Phrynosoma platyrhinos (Desert horned lizard). RNAcentral describes it as "tRNA-OTHER". The record is from RNAcentral. Lineage: Eukaryota; Metazoa; Chordata; Lepidosauria; Squamata; Phrynosomatidae.